Herpailurus yagouaroundi (jaguarundi) is the source of this 837-nucleotide long non-coding RNA. RefSeq lists it as uncharacterized. The record is from RefSeq and is a predicted model, not a curated record. The transcript is spliced from 2 exons. Lineage: Eukaryota; Metazoa; Chordata; Mammalia; Carnivora; Felidae.
CUCUGGCCCAGGAGAAAGGAGCUGUGCCAGAAGCCUGGGGUUUGAACAUUAACUGUCCUGCUAAAGCCUGCCAGCCAUGUGCUCUCCAUGCUCCCCAAGGACUAUUUUACUCUUUGCAAGGGGAAAGAAUUAAAGACUCCCUUUUCCGCAAAAAUACCAUGGAGGUGUUUAGCACAUACUCUUCCCCGGCUAUCCGUGCCACUGACGCAGUCCCACCCCCCUGUCAGAGGGUGCCUGGCAAGAGGUCAGCAACAAAUGAGCCAGACCAGGAUUAUCAGGAUCCAGAUGUAGGUGUGAAGGCCAGGAAAGGCAAUCCAGCAGGGCGGGAAGCAUCUGGAAGAUCCAUGCCUCCCUCAAGGCUUCAGGGGAUGGAGGUCAUCCUGUCUGGUCUCAGACAACAAAGCUCCAGCCAUGAGCUCCAAGGACCUGAUGCAGAACUGUCAACCACAGCAGCACAAAGAAGAGCAAGACAGGACUUCAGCCGACUGAGAGCAGAGAAAUACACCCGGGGGUGGAGAAACGGGAAGGUCCAUCCCAGGAGUAAGGCUUGGCCACAAGAUCAUGGACACUGGAACUUCAGGGAACCUUAGAGAGUCCUUCAGCUCUCUGGUUCUAGGGAUCAGUAAAUGGGCCUAGGAAGGCUGAAUGAAUUGCCAGAGGUCACAACACGAACUAGGGAGGGAAACCCAGGAGUUCUGACUCCCCUUCCAGUGCUCUUUCCAUGGUACCACCUCAAGGCUUGGGAUUCUGCCACAUGCCUGGUCCUACUAUUAUGAAACAUCUACUUUAGGUGGGGCACUGUGAUAAACCUGAACUUGGGAAAAGCCCAGCUCUAGA